Small nucleolar RNA from Monodelphis domestica (gray short-tailed opossum), 73 nucleotides. Lineage: Eukaryota; Metazoa; Chordata; Mammalia; Didelphimorphia; Didelphidae. The record is from Ensembl.
CUUCUGAUGAGGAGAACCUUGUCCAGUUCUGCUACUGAUGUAUCAGAGAUGACAGCUUUGUGUGCUGAAGAAG